This 204-nucleotide long non-coding RNA is filed under the name Lathyrus oleraceus (garden pea). Its description in RNAcentral is "Pisum sativum (pea) long non-coding RNA (PSAT_LNC042054)". Lineage: Eukaryota; Viridiplantae; Streptophyta; Magnoliopsida; Fabales; Fabaceae. The record is from RNAcentral.
GAGGUUGUUGUGGUUGUUGUGAGGCAAGGUUCUGAGUCUGAAGUUAGGCUAGAGUGGGAGAAGAGGGGUCAGAGUGUUCUGUGUCAGAUGAGAUGACAAAGUAAGGAGGUGAUUCUGGGGAAGAGGAUGAAGAGGUUGUUUCAUUUAGCCUUUCAGCUUCAGAUAGGGGUAAGGAGGUAGAGGUAAGGUUGAAUUUUGGGAGUG